CCCUUAGAUGUUCUGGGCAGCACGCGCGCUACAAUGGUCUUCGCAAACGGAUGCAUUCUCGAAGGAGAAUGCCAAUCUUGGAAUCUAUGCCUUGGUCGGGACAGUUGCUUGCAAUUUUUCGACUCGAACCAGGAAUUCCUUGUAAUCGUGAUUCAUCACAUCACGAUGAAUACGUCCCUGCCCUUUGUACACACCGCCCGUCGCUCCUACCGAUCGAAGAGUUAGGUGAAUUGUUUUGAUCGAUAAGAUUUGACUAUGGUCAACUCUCGUUGUGCAAUUCUGUGAAUCUGACUGUUUAGAGGAAGGAAAAGUCGUAACA
This 319-nucleotide ribosomal RNA is filed under the name uncultured eukaryote. Its description in RNAcentral is "partial 18S ribosomal RNA". It matches the Rfam family "Eukaryotic small subunit ribosomal RNA", at positions 1470 to 1796 of the family's 1831-position model. The record is from RNAcentral.